UAGCCUAACGGCUGAACCAGCAACUUGGAGGAAUGUAUAGCGCAAGCUAAUUGCACUGGCCUUUGGCUGGUGCAAGAUCGACCAUGUUGAAUAAAGUUCUAGGUAGAGUUAUGAUAAUGACAUUUUCUAUCUAUGUGUCUUGACCAAGUCACGUGCCAGCAGUCGCGGUAAUACGUGGAAGACUAGUGUUAUUCAUCUUUAAUUGGUUUAAAGGGUACCUAGACGGUUAAUCAAACCCCCCCUACGGGGGGUAUUAAUUGACUAGAGUUUUAUAUGAGGAGGGGAGUACUAAAGAGUGUAGAGAUGAAAUUCUGUGAUACCUGCCUUGGAACAGGCAACGGCGAAGGCAACCUUUUAUGUAAAAACUGACGUUGAAGGACGAAGGCUUAGGACACCAACAGGAUUAGAUACCCCAGCAGUCUAAGCAGACAAUGAUGAAUGUCAUAGAUUAGAAUUAUAAUUUUGUCUAUAAAUGAAAGUGUAAGCAUUCCACCUCAAGAGUAAUGUGGCAACGCAGAAACUGAAAUCAUUAGACCGUUUCUGAAACCAGUAGUGAAGUAUGUUGUUUAAUUUGAUGUUCCGCAAAACACCUUACCACAAUUUGAAUAUUAUUUAUUUGAAUAUUUUUUUUGAAUAUAUAUUACAAGCGUUGCACGGCUGUUUUCAGUUAAUGUCGUGAGAUUUUGGUUAGCUCCAUUAAAUUAACGUAAACCCUUACUUUAUUUAUUAUUAUAAAGUAGUUCACCGCUAUAUUGGAUAUGAUAAAAGGGAAUAAUACAAGUCAAUAUGGCCUAGAUAUUGUGGGCUAUAGACGUGCCACAUAAGCCUUUACAAAGGGAUGCGAAAUUGUGAAAUUGAGCUAAUCCCCAAAACAGGAUAUAACA
RNAcentral lists this ribosomal RNA (884 nucleotides) under Trapelia placodioides. RNAcentral's name for it is "SSU rRNA". It matches the Rfam family "Bacterial small subunit ribosomal RNA", at positions 372 to 1293 of the family's 1533-position model. The record is from RNAcentral. Lineage: Eukaryota; Fungi; Ascomycota; Lecanoromycetes; Trapeliales; Trapeliaceae.